RNAcentral lists this ribosomal RNA (416 nucleotides) under uncultured beta proteobacterium. Its description in RNAcentral is "bacterial SSU rRNA". It matches the Rfam family "Bacterial small subunit ribosomal RNA", at positions 201 to 602 of the family's 1533-position model. Lineage: Bacteria; Pseudomonadati; Pseudomonadota; Betaproteobacteria. The record is from RNAcentral.
GAAAAGCAGGGGAUCGAAAGACCUUGCGCUUUGGGAGCGGCCGAUGUCUGAUUAGCUAGUUGGUGGGGUAAAGGCCUACCAAGGCGACGAUCAGUAGUUGGUCUGAGAGGACGACCAGCCACACUGGGACUGAGACACGGCCCAGACUCCUACGGGAGGCAGCAGUGGGGAAUUUUGGACAAUGGGCGCAAGCCUGAUCCAGCAAUGCCGCGUGAGUGAAGAAGGCCUUCGGGUUGUAAAGCUCUUUCAGUCGAGAAGAAAAAGCUGCAGUGAAUAACUGUAGUUCAUGACGGUAUCGACAGAAGAAGCACCGGCUAACUACGUGCCAGCAGCCGCGGUAAUACGUAGGGUGCGAGCGUUAAUCGGAAUUACUGGGCGUAAAGGGUGCGCAGGCGGUUUUUAAGUCAGAUGAAUCC